AGUUCAUAAUUGUAUGUGUCUGGUCGUCAUCUCUCCCUUUCCACUUUCAGAAAACAACCAAUUUUUGCUCUGUUCUUCUCACAAUCUUAGCUUUUAUGAAAUUCACAAUCCCAUAAUUAAUAUUAUUACUUCAUCUUCUGUUUGUUAGCGACUCAGAUUCAUAUUUCCUUCCAUUUCUUCCCACUUUUCACCUAAAAUUUUGUUAAUUUUUGACUUUGUGAGGAAGAAAGAGAACGGGAGAAGCAGGCGAAGCCCUAGAAUUUCGGCAUGGCUUCGUCGAAUGUGGAGAUUGCGUCCACGUCGAAGAACAAUCCGGAUCUGCCGCGUGAGUCCUCUGUUUGUUCUAUUUCCACAAUUAUCGCUGAUCUACAGCAUAGUGAUUCCUCCAGGAAUUUGGUUUCCAUGAGCAUGGAUGACCUGCUUAAGAACAUUUAUUCCGAUGCUCAAACUCACAAUCAACCGCAGCCGGAGAAUCCCAUUAUGCCUGCCUCGAUCCCCACCCAACACACCUUUCCUUUGCCCAAGGAUUUGAGCACCAGGUCUGUUGAGGAGGUCUGGAAGGAGAUCGUUGCUGGGGGUGGUGAUCAGAGGCGGGACCCUGCUACGGAUCACGAAAUAACCCUUGAAGAUUUUCUAUCUAAGGCUGGGGCUGUUCAUCAGGAGGAUGUUAGGAGGGUCCCUGUAAUCUCCGAAGCUGGGGGUUAUGGUGUCGACUCGACCCUUAAUAAUCAGUUUCAGAUUCCGCCGCAGCAGCAGUUGGAAGGUGCGCCGGUUGGGUACGCUAGUGGAAUCGAUGGGAGAAUGGUUGGAGUUGGAAGAGGGAAGAGAAGGGCUGUUGAGGAACCAGUUGACAAAGCCACACAGCAGAAACAGAGACGGAUGAUCAAGAACAGGGAAUCCGCUGCCCGCUCCAGGGAACGCAAGCAGGCAUAUACGCUAGAGCUAGAGUCUCUCGUGACCCAACUGGAGGAGGAAAAUGCACGGCUAUUGAGAGAAGAGGAUUUCUGUAUGUAUCGAGUCUAAAUCAUCAUCCAUUCAGAAGUUCUGAGGAAUCAAAUUCUAAAUGCAGGCUGAGCAUAUCAAGGAACGGUCUAAGCAGCUCAAGGAGAAACUCAUUCCGAUCAGCGAGAAGCGGAGGCCACCACAGCGCAUUCUUACAAGAGCAAAUUCUUUUUAGUGGUAGCGGGUAUGCUCUGAAUCUGUGGAGGGAUGGAAUGAGCGUUUUAAUUUACAGUUGUUAAUCAUACAAAACUGGGUUGUGUGUCUGCCAAUGAAAAGGGGUAUAUAACCAAGUUAGUCAUGUCAUAGAGAUAGAUAUUUGGGGAAUAAAACACAAAACCGUCCAAGUAAAUACAAAAAAGAAAAAAAAAAAGAGUAGUUUGACGAUGCGCCCUGUUUGAACUUAUCGUUUAUAUAAUCUUAUGAAACUGUUGAAUCUGAUGUCGAAAAGAGGUGGUCGAUACCGACGAUUUGGAUGGUUGCUGGUUGUGAUUAGAUUAUACAUGUGUAUUGCGUCUGUUUUAUUAUAUCAAUCAGGUGGUGAAGAAAAGAGAGAAGAUAAGUAGAUAAAAGAAGUCAUAUUGCGUUUAUGGCUUUGAUUUUCGUUUUGUUGCUGAUGUAGGGAAUGGGAUGGUUGUGGUUAAUCUGAAUUUGUUUGUAUGAAUGUAUGAUGAAUGUUUAGUGCAUCCAAAGAGCUUUCCAUAUUU
Molecule: RNA transcript, 1706 nt
Organism: Cucurbita pepo subsp. pepo (vegetable marrow)
Lineage: Eukaryota; Viridiplantae; Streptophyta; Magnoliopsida; Cucurbitales; Cucurbitaceae
Gene name: G-box-binding factor 4
Source: RefSeq, a predicted model, not a curated record